This 253-nucleotide ribosomal RNA is filed under the name uncultured bacterium. Its description in RNAcentral is "partial 16S ribosomal RNA". It matches the Rfam family "Bacterial small subunit ribosomal RNA", at positions 524 to 776 of the family's 1533-position model. The record is from RNAcentral.
UACGAAGGGAGCAAGCGUUAUUCGGAAUCACUGGGCGUAAAGGGCGUGUAGGCGGUUGAUUAAGUCAGUUGUUAAAUUCCUCAGCCUAACUGAGGCACAGCGAUUGAAACUGAUCGGCUAGAGUGCAGAAGAGAGAAGUGGAAUUAUCGGAGUAGCGGUAAAAUGCGUAGAUCUCGAUAGGAACACCGAUGGCGAAGGCAGCUUCUUGGGCUGCUACUGACGCUGAAACGCGAAAGCGUGGGGAGCAAACAGG